CACAUGUCAAGGCCGCCAUUAUCUCAGCAGAAACUUCGCGGGAAAGUCAACAAAAAGUUAUAAAAACAGGAAAUCAUUGACCGAUCUGUAUGUCCUGGUACAGAUAGUGAUGUUUUAUACCAGAACUGCUCCCACGCCCUCGGUAAUGAUUCUCUUGGAUAUUGAGGGGUUGCCUUUCUGAUAUAGGAGCUGUACGUAUUCAAUGGCAGGAAAUGUCCAAGUUUGUUGUCCAUCUGAUGUGAAUUCCACUUGUGUGUUGAGAAGAGCCAUGUCUGGAUUUCUGAAUAAAUGUUUUGAACUUGG
Molecule: long non-coding RNA, 303 nt
Organism: Pecten maximus
Lineage: Eukaryota; Metazoa; Mollusca; Bivalvia; Pectinida; Pectinidae
Exons: 4
Source: RefSeq, a predicted model, not a curated record